Molecule: ribosomal RNA, 379 nt
Filed under: Streptomyces sp. KSJ7
Lineage: Bacteria; Bacillati; Actinomycetota; Actinomycetes; Kitasatosporales; Streptomycetaceae
Description: bacterial SSU rRNA
Rfam family: Bacterial small subunit ribosomal RNA
Source: RNAcentral
UACGUGCCAGCAGCCGCGGUAAUACGUAGGGCGCGAGCGUUGUCCGGAAUUAUUGGGCGUAAAGAGCUCGUAGGCGGCUUGUCGCGUCGGUUGUGAAAGCCCGGGGCUUAACCCCGGGUCUGCAGUCGAUACGGGCAGGCUAGAGUUCGGUAGGGGAGAUCGGAAUUCCUGGUGUAGCGGUGAAAUGCGCAGAUAUCAGGAGGAACACCGGUGGCGAAGGCGGAUCUCUGGGCCGACACUGACGCUGAGGAGCGAAAGCGUGGGGAGCGAACAGGAUUAGAUACCCUGGUAGUCCACGCCGUAAACGGUGGGCACUAGGUGUGGGCAACAUUCCACGUUGUCCGUGCCGCAGCUAACGCAUUAAGUGCCCCGCCUGGGG